GUGUGGCGUGGAGCUGGGUAGAACAGUUGGGCAGUAGGUAAGGUAAGGGCUAGGGGUAAGGUUCUUGCUUUCCUUAGUCAAGCAAAGUGAGCUAGCGGUUCCUUCCUUGGUGAGCUGGAGGUAGCCGUGGUACUCCCGCAAGGACUACCCGACGAAGGUGGGCGCGCCGCCGCGGUGCCUGGGCCGCCGCCACCGCCUGCCGCUGCUCCGCUGGUGCCGGUGCCGGUUCCGGUGCCGCGGCAGCUCCGGCGGGUGGUCCUUCCCGUUCUUCUUCAGCUACGCCGCCCGCGGCUCGCGCUGCCGCGCCGACGCCUGCGAGAGGAAGCUGCUGGACAGGGCGUGCGACCGGAGCAGCCCCUACGUGCGCAAGUGGCAGCGGCUCGACGCCCGGCGGUGCGCGUUGAAGAGGCCGUCGGUGAAGUAGCCCCUCCCGCCCAAGCCCGGCCAGAUGUUCCCGAAGGAGCUGCUGUUCCACCACGGCCCCUACGUCGGCGUCGUGCACCGGCAGUUCAUGGACCUGCGGCUCCCGGGCGUCCCGGUGGCGCUCACCGAGCGGCUCCACCAGAUGGAGCCGUACGUCGAGUCGGUGGGCGUGGACCACUUCGAGCAGCCGAUGACGAUGGUCCUCGUGGUGGCGUACGAGCAGAUGCUCAUGUACCGGGCCCCGUCGGAGCUCGUGGUGGAGAAGUUCUUAGACGACCGCUCGAACGGCACCCGCUGCUCCGACUUCUAGCGCCACCCCCGCCGGUUCCCCGACCGCAAGGACGUGCUCCGCCUCUGCGGCCAGUAGAUGUCCCUGAAGUUCCGGAGGUUGUAGGACGAGCUUAGCCUGAUGUGCCGCUUCGACAGCCUGAAGCCCGACCGCUUCCUCCCGGGCAGCCCCCUGCUGUGCGUGCACAGCUGCGCGCAGUACCCGUGCGUGCCGAUACGCCGCGGCCUCAUGUAGGAGUGCCCGGUGGAGUGCCGCUCCUCGCUGCACAUGUCGAAGCCCCACCACGACGAACUCGACGAGUGCCCGGCGGCCUCGCAGCUGUUCGCGGCGGCCCCGGCGCUCGUCUUGGAGCAGCUGACCCGCGCGGGGAUGGACGCCGCCGGCCUGUUCGACGUGGCGCAGUACCUGGGGUCGGAGCUCCCGUCGAUGAGGCGGCUCCGGCGGCGGUUCCGGCGGUGGCAGCGCAUGUUGACGGACGUGUCGCACGGGUUCUUGGCCGGGUGGUACGCGCUCCAGCAGCUGAGCGAGCUCGGCGAGUACGCGUACAGGGCGCUGCACGGGCGGCCCGACAAGCAGAUGUGGCGCGGCAGUCUCGGCAGCGGCCGUCGGUUCCAGCAGCGGCUGUUCCGGCGUCUCCUGCCGCUCCUUCGGUUCCUGUCGCCGUAAUCGGGCCGCCGUCGCCGGUCCUUCUUUACGGUCGCGAGCCGGCACGUGUGCCUCUCGCGCCGCGGGUUCAUGCGCUCGAGGCACCGCCCCUUUCUCUCGGCGCCGAGCGGCUGCGUCUCCUCCCUGUCUCCCCGCACUCGUUGUUACCGGGCGUACGCGCUCUAAAAACAAACAAGUUUCACAUGUAUUAACUUUCUUGGUGCUACACAUUAGACAACCAACUAACUAAAAAAAAGAAAAGAACCACUAACAUAAACAUAGGGUUCUCGUUUUCCACAAUCAUGUCUUAAGAAAAAGGUCCGGGUUUGCUACCCACAAGAAAGAACUAACUCUGCAAGGAAAACUUUUUACUUAGUAGACGUCGCCUAACAAACCAUGUCCCUGAUAUUGUCCUAACAAGUUUCACAUGUAUUAACUUUCUUGGUCCUACACAUUAGACCACCAACGAA
This 1827-nucleotide ribosomal RNA is filed under the name Triticum aestivum (bread wheat). RNAcentral describes it as "partial small subunit ribosomal RNA". Lineage: Eukaryota; Viridiplantae; Streptophyta; Magnoliopsida; Poales; Poaceae. The record is from RNAcentral.